This 302-nucleotide ribosomal RNA is filed under the name uncultured bacterium. RNAcentral's name for it is "partial 16S ribosomal RNA". It matches the Rfam family "Bacterial small subunit ribosomal RNA", at positions 508 to 807 of the family's 1533-position model. The record is from RNAcentral.
GCAGUAGCCACGGUAAUACAGAGGGUGCGAGCGUUAAUCGGAUUUACUGGGCGUAAAGCGUGCGUAGGCGGCUUUUUAAGUCGGAUGUGAAAUCCCUGAGCUUAACUUAGGAAUUGCAUUCGAUACUGGGAAGCUAGAGUAUGGGAGAGGAUGGUAGAAUUCCAGGUGUAGCGGUGAAAUGCGUAGAGAUCUGGAGGAAUACCGAUGGCGAAGGCAGCCAUCUGGCCUAAUACUGACGCUGAGGUACGAAAGCAUGGGGAGCAAACAGGAUUAGAUACCCCCGUAGUCCCUGUCUCUUAUAC